Molecule: ribosomal RNA, 253 nt
Filed under: uncultured bacterium
Lineage: Bacteria
Description: partial 16S ribosomal RNA
Rfam family: Bacterial small subunit ribosomal RNA
Source: RNAcentral
UACGAAGGGUGCAAGCGUUACUCGGAAUUACUGGGCGUAAAGCGUGCGUAGGUGGUUCGUUAAGUCUGAUGUGAAGGCCCUGGGCUCAACCUGGGAAUGGCAUUGGAAACUGGCGACCUAGAGUGCGGUAGAGGGUAGUGGAAUUCCCGGUGUAGCAGUGAAAUGCGUAGAGAUCGGGAGGAACAUCCGUGGCGAAGGCGACUACCUGGACCAGCACUGACACUGAGGCACGAAAGCGUGGGGAGCAAACAGG